Molecule: transfer RNA, 79 nt
Filed under: Vibrio harveyi
Lineage: Bacteria; Pseudomonadati; Pseudomonadota; Gammaproteobacteria; Vibrionales; Vibrionaceae
Description: tRNA-Ala
Rfam family: tRNA
About the family: Transfer RNA (tRNA) molecules are approximately 80 nucleotides in length. Their secondary structure includes four short double-helical elements and three loops (D, anti-codon, and T loops). Further hydrogen bonds mediate the characteristic L-shaped molecular structure. tRNAs have two regions of fundamental functional importance: the anti-codon, which is responsible for specific mRNA codon recognition, and the 3' end, to which the tRNAs corresponding amino acid is attached (by aminoacyl-tRNA synthetases). tRNAs cope with the degeneracy of the genetic code in two manners: having more than one tRNA (with a specific anti-codon) for a particular amino acid; and 'wobble' base-pairing, i.e. permitting non-standard base-pairing at the 3rd anti-codon position.
Source: RNAcentral
GGGGCUAUAGCUCAGCUGGGAGAGCGCCUGCCUUGCACGCAGGAGGUCAGCAGUUCGAUCCUGCUUAGCUCCACCAUCU